Molecule: non-coding RNA, 29 nt
Filed under: Mus musculus (house mouse)
Lineage: Eukaryota; Metazoa; Chordata; Mammalia; Rodentia; Muridae
Source: RNAcentral
UCCUCUCAGAGAGUGAUGAGCUCCAGGAC